This 330-nucleotide ribosomal RNA is filed under the name uncultured eukaryote. RNAcentral describes it as "partial 18S ribosomal RNA". It matches the Rfam family "Eukaryotic small subunit ribosomal RNA", at positions 1470 to 1796 of the family's 1831-position model. The record is from RNAcentral.
CCCUUAGAUGUUCUGGGCCGCACGCGCGCUACACUGAUGCAUUCAACGAGUCUAAAACCUGGUCUGAUAGGGCUGGGUAAUCUUUUGAAUGUGCAUCGUGAUUGGGAUAGAUGAUUGCAAUUCUUCAUCUUCAACGAGGAAUGCCUAGUAAACGCAAGUCAUCAGCUUGCAUUGAUUACGUCCCUGCCCUUCGUACACACCGCCCGUCGCUCCUACCGAUUGAAUGUUCCGAUGAAUACCAUGGACUGAGAGUAUGAAUGGGUUCGCCUAUUUCUGCUUCUCGGGAAGUGGAGUAAAUCUUAACAUUUAGAGGAAGGAGAAGUCGUAACA